ACGAACGCUGGCGGCGUGCUUAACACAUGCAAGUCGAACGGUGAAGCGAGUGCUUGCACUCGUGGAUCAGUGGCGAACGGGUGAGUAACACGUGAGUAACCUGCCCAUCACUCUGGGAUAAGCACUGGAAACGGUGUCUAAUACUGGAUACGACCAACCCUUGCAUGGGGUGUUGGUGGAAAGAUUAUCGGUGGUGGAUGGACUCGCGGCCUAUCAGCUUGUUGGCGGGGUAAUGGCCCACCAAGGCGACGACGGGUAGCCGGCCUGAGAGGGUGACCGGCCACACUGGGACUGAGACACGGCCCAGACUCCUACGGGAGGCAGCAGUGGGGAAUAUUGCACAAUGGGCGAAAGCCUGAUGCAGCGACGCCGCGUGAGGGAUGACGGCCUUCGGGUUGUAAACCUCUUUCAGCAGGGAAGAAGCGAAAGUGACGGUACCUGCAGAAGAAGCACCGGCUAACUACGUG
RNAcentral lists this ribosomal RNA (467 nucleotides) under uncultured bacterium. RNAcentral describes it as "partial 16S ribosomal RNA". It matches the Rfam family "Bacterial small subunit ribosomal RNA", at positions 29 to 507 of the family's 1533-position model. The record is from RNAcentral.